Molecule: ribosomal RNA, 659 nt
Filed under: Pseudomonas sp.
Lineage: Bacteria; Pseudomonadati; Pseudomonadota; Gammaproteobacteria; Pseudomonadales; Pseudomonadaceae
Description: bacterial SSU rRNA
Source: RNAcentral
GGAAGCCUUGAGCUUUUAGUGGCGCAGCUAACGCAUUAAGUUGACCGCCUGGGGAGUACGGCCGCAAGGUUAAAACUCAAAUGAAUUGACGGGGGCCCGCACAAGCGGUGGARCAUGUGGUUUAAUUCGAAGCAACSCGAAGAACCUUACCAGGCCUUGACAUCCAAUGAACUUUCUAGAAAUAGAUUGGUGCCUUCGGGAACAUUGAGACAGGUGCUGCAUGGCUGUCSUCAGCUCGUGUCGUGAGAUGUUGGGUUAAGUCCCGUAACGAGCGCAACCCUUGUCCUUAGUUACCAGCACGUWAUGGUGGGCACUCUAAGGAGACUGCCGGUGACAAACCGGAGGAAGGUGGGGAUGACGUCAAGUCAUCAUGGCCCUUACGGCCUGGGCUACACACGUGCUACAAUGGUCGGUACAGAGGGUUGCCAAGCCGCGAGGCGGAGCUAAUCCCAUAAAACCGAUCGUAGUCCGGAUCGCAUUCUGCAAUUCGACUGCGUGAAGUCGGAAUCGCUAGUAAUCGCGAAUCAGAAUGUCGCGGUGAAUACGUUCCCGGGCCUUGUACACACCGCCCGUCACACCAUGGGAGUGGGUUGCACCAGAAGUAGCUAGUCUAACCUUCGGGAGGACGGUUACCACGGUGUGAUUCAUGACUGGGGUGA